RNAcentral lists this unclassified non-coding RNA (210 nucleotides) under Hevea brasiliensis (rubber tree). Lineage: Eukaryota; Viridiplantae; Streptophyta; Magnoliopsida; Malpighiales; Euphorbiaceae. The record is from RNAcentral.
UGAAAAUGUGGAUCAUCUGAAACUACUGCACGAUCAUCCCAAUUUAAGCGACCACCAAAUAUAUUCCAAAUACCAUUUUGAUUUUUAAAAUGUGCACAACGAUGAUUUAGGACAGCAUCACCAAGCACCUUUAUCCCAACAUCAUGGAACGUCUUCACAACAUCCUUCAGCUCAUCAAUGUUACCAUAUCUGGAAUUUAAAUUAUACAAG